AUUGAACGCUGGCGGCAGGCCUAACACAUGCAAGUCGAGCGAGCGGCGGACGGGUGAGUAAUGUCUGGGAAACUGCCUGAUGGAGGUGGAUAACUCCUGGAAACGGUAGCUAAUACCCCAUAUGAUCAGAGGUGCCCAGAUGGGAUUUGCUAGUAGGUGGGGUACCGGCUCACCUAGGCGCCCAUCCCUAGCUGGUCUGAGAGGAUGACCAGCCACACUGUAACUGAGACACGGUCCUGACUCCUACGGGAGGAAGCAGUGGGGAAUAUUGCACAAUGGGCGCAAGCCUGAUGCAGCCAUGCCGCGUGUGUGAAGAAGGCCUUCGGGUUGUAAAGCACUUUCAGCGGGGAGGCGUUACCCGCAGAAGAAGCACCGGCUAACUCCGUGCCAGCAGCCGCGGUAAUAC
Molecule: ribosomal RNA, 406 nt
Filed under: uncultured bacterium
Lineage: Bacteria
Description: partial 16S ribosomal RNA
Rfam family: Bacterial small subunit ribosomal RNA
Source: RNAcentral